GACGAACGCUGGCGGCGUGCUUAACACAUGCAAGUCGAACGGAAAGGCCCUGCUUUUGUGGGGUGCUCGAGUGGCGAACGGGUGAGUAACACGUGAGUAACCUGCCCUUGACUUUGGGAUAACUUCAGGAAACUGGGGCUAAUACCGGAUAGGAGCUCCUGCUGCAUGGUGGGGGUUGGAAAGUUUCGGCGGUUGGGGAUGGACUCGCGGCUUAUCAGCUUGUUGGUGGGGUAGUGGCUUACCAAGGCUUUGACGGGUAGCCGGCCUGAGAGGGUGACCGGCCACAUUGGGACUGAGAUACGGCCCAGACUCCUACGGGAGGCAGGAGUGGGGAAUAUUGCACAAUGGGCGGAAGCCUGAUGCAGCAACGCCGCGUGUGGGAUGACGGCCUUCGGGUUGUAAACCGCUUUCGCCUGUGACGAAGCGUGAGUGACGGUAAUGGGUAAAGAAGCACCGGCUAACUACGU
This 467-nucleotide ribosomal RNA is filed under the name uncultured bacterium. RNAcentral's name for it is "partial 16S ribosomal RNA". It matches the Rfam family "Bacterial small subunit ribosomal RNA", at positions 28 to 506 of the family's 1533-position model. The record is from RNAcentral.